AUUGAACGCUGGCGGCAUGCUUUACACAUGCAAGUCGAACGGCAGCACGGGAGCAAUCCUGGUGGCGAGUGGCGAACGGGUGAGUAAUAUAUCGGAACGUGCCUUAUAGUGGGGGCUAACGCAGCGAAAGUUGCGGUAAUACCGCAUACGCCCUGAGGGGGAAAGCGGGGGAUCGAAAGACCUCGCGCUACUAGAGCGGCCGAUAUCUGAUUAGCUAGUUGGUGAGGUAAAGGCUCACCAAGGCUUCGAUCAGUAGCUGGUCUGAGAGGACGAUCAGCCACACUGGGACUGAGACACGGCCCAGACUCCUACGGGAGGCAGCAGUGGGGAAUUUUGGACAAUGGGGGCAACCCUGAUCCAGCAAUGCCGCGUGAGUGAAGAAGGCCUUCGGGUUAUAAAGCUCUUUUGUCAGGGAAGAAACAGCAGCUCUAACACAGCUGUGAAUGACGGUACCUGAAGAAUAAGCACCGGCUAACUACGUGCC
Molecule: ribosomal RNA, 484 nt
Filed under: uncultured beta proteobacterium
Lineage: Bacteria; Pseudomonadati; Pseudomonadota; Betaproteobacteria
Description: bacterial SSU rRNA
Rfam family: Bacterial small subunit ribosomal RNA
Source: RNAcentral